UAGGCAUUAUUGAGUACUGACUGGAUGUGGAACUAAAUAGCCAAAGAAAGCGUCACUAUGAAAGCUGCUGCUAUAAUACUGUGAUCCGUUUUUUGAUAAUUAAAGGAAAGCUUCAAGAGGAGAAUGCAGAGGUCAUGCACACAUCAAUAUGCAUCUGCAACAAGCUAUGGUAACUGAGGUUCUCCCCAGCCAGGUGUACUUUCUGUUGUGGCUGUCAAGUUGCCAAAACCAAUUCCCAAGCAUUGCAGAAACAUUAUUUGACGACCUUCAGACGAACCCAUCAUAUGCAAGUACAAUGUAUACCUAGUUUUACCAAUCAUUAAAGAGGCAU
Molecule: long non-coding RNA, 331 nt
Organism: Papaver somniferum (opium poppy)
Lineage: Eukaryota; Viridiplantae; Streptophyta; Magnoliopsida; Ranunculales; Papaveraceae
Exons: 3
Source: RefSeq, a predicted model, not a curated record